Camelus dromedarius (Arabian camel) is the source of this 1404-nucleotide long non-coding RNA. RefSeq lists it as uncharacterized. The record is from RefSeq and is a predicted model, not a curated record. The transcript is spliced from 3 exons. NCBI's taxonomy places the organism in Eukaryota, Metazoa, Chordata, Mammalia, Artiodactyla, Camelidae.
GGAGCGCUAAGAGGGUUGACUCUGAAUCCAGACCACUCAAAUGUGAAGAGCAGCUCCAGAACUCACCAGGCAUGUGACCUGGGGCACAUCUGAGGCUCUUGGAGUCAGUUUCCAAGUCCAUAAAGUGUACUGAUAAUAGGGGCAUCUGUUUCAAAGAACUGUGAGGAGGAUUCAGUGGCUGAGCUCAUGAGAAGUGGUUAGAAGAGUGUCUGCCUCCACAAAUGUUGGCUUUUGUCAUUCAGUCUGGACAAGGUCAUUGGAUUCGCCAUUGAGGAGUCAACUUGCACGAGUAGGAGUUCACGAGAAUUUCUGGCAGAGAGACGAGGUCUGAGGGAGCCUAGGAUGAGGAGGAGGACAACCAAGUGUCCAUGUUACCCGCAGUCACCCUCACAGACGCCCGUGGAGAGAGAGGGUGCAGCCAGCAAUGGAACGUGAGGACGCACAGAGCUACUUCAGGGCUAGACCAAAGCAUGACCAAGGGUGAGAAAGAAGGAAGUCUCCCUGACACUUCUGCACAGGACACAAAAUUGUUCUUGUGCAGCAAGGCUGGAGGAGAACCCAACAGACUUUGGAUGCCACAGAAUGGGAACCAAGGGGCACCUGGAGAGAAUUCCACCAGGACAGAUGUCAGCUGUCCCAGUGAGGACUCCAGCCCCAUAGGUGGCGCUGAGGGACUACAUAAGCAGGGACAUCAUCUGGGGGCAAAAGCUGCGCAUCCACAGGUCAAGGGUAAGAACAAGACAGCUGCUCUGUGAAGACUCUCUGACUCAGGGAGCGGGAUUCCGCACAGAGCUGAUGUCCUAACAGGUAAAAGUGGAUGAUUAAACCCUGUGGCCCACAGGUUUGCGUGCCCCCAAGAGGAAGGGGGGAUCUUGGGUAGCACUUUGGGGUAAGAAGUUUGCUGUUCCUGAGCUAGACGCACACUAGCUGCACACCGGCUGCAGCCCUCCUCCCCGGAACCACAGCUCUCACCGUUUCUGAACCAAAUGUCAGGAUACCUGAUGGGAAUGCCGGCUUGAUCCCCGAUAAAGCCAACUGGAAAAGGUGGCUUCAGACUACAGCCAGAGGUGAGACAAAGAUAUUCCAUCAGGUGAAAACUACUUCUCGCCAUGUUUGUGCUGUACCAUCUACACAAAAAGCCACCCUGAUGGGACACUGUGAGAACUGUGGAUUCAAGGACAUACAAAGCCCUGGGUGAUGGAACCUGGAAAGUUCAGCUGCCUUGACCCUGAAGCAAGAUGCCCAGACUGAGCCACAGCACAAGUGGAGAAAGAAUGCAAGACGAUGGCACUUUUUUUAAAAGAAAGAUUUGGCAUCAUCUGCUGGACUCUGUUUCAUGAUCAACUAAUAACGAGAUCAUUUGCCAUCUGGUCACGAAUUGCACCUGCAGGUGUUUCCAAGCAU